AGUGCGAACAAGUGCAUGUGGUGGAUGCUCUCUUUGGCUUUCACACAGCGAUGUAGAGACGCGGGUAAGCGCUGCGAAAAGGCUACGCGGGGAGCUGGCAAGGCGAGCCGUUGCGAUCCGAUAGAGUUGUCCGAAUCGGGGAAACCCGUGACCCUUUUUGGGUCCCAUCCUAGGGACUGAAUAGGCAUAGGUUCUGUUGAGGUGCGACGGCGGUGUGAACUGAAACAUCUUAAUUAAGGGCACAUGAAAAGGAAAAUCGAACCGAGAUUCCCAAAAGUACGUGGCGGAGCGAAAUGGGGAAGCGCGCUGUCUUCUCUUUAUUUGUAUUUGUUAGCCGAACGCUCUGGAAAUGUGCGGCCAUCCAGCAGGUGUUAGGCCCUGUGGCGGAAACGUGUGAUGAAAGAACUCUAUGGUGUAGGGAACAAGUAGUGCGCGGGGACACGUGAAAUCCUGUCUGAAAGAUUGGGGGACCAUCCUCCAGGGCUAAAUACGUUCGUGAUCGACCGAUAGGUGCCAGUCAGUCACCGGAUGAGGGGAAACGGCGAAAAGAACCCCGGAGGGGAGUGAAAUAGAUCUUGGAAGCGCGUGCUCUACAAGAGCUCAGUUCGGAGCCUCGCAAGGUGUGCGGCGCGUACACUUUAUGUAAAUUGUGUCAGCAGCACUUAUACUUUUCGAUUAGCACGCUUUAACCCGAACUAUGUGCCGGCGUAGCGCAAGUCCGGAGUCGAAUAGGGUGGUUCCAGUUGCUGGGCGUAGACCCGAAACCCAGGUGAUCUAUUCCAUGGGCCAGGGAUGAAAGGUGCGGGUAACACGUACUGGAGGUCCGAACCCACUUAACGUUGAAAAUUUAGGGGCUGAGCUCGUGGAUUAGGGGUGUGAAAGGCUAAACAAACCUGGAAAUAGGCUGGUUCUCUUCCGAAAAACUAUUUACGGUAGUGCCUCGGUGUCCUCACCUUCGGGGGGUAGAGCACUGUCAUGGUUGGGGGGGUCUAUUGCAGAUUACCCCCCGCAUAGCAAACUCCCGAAUACCGAAGAGUGCAAUCACGGAGACAGACAUCGGGUGCUAACGUCCGGUGUCAAGAGGGAAACAAACCCAGACCGCCAGCUAAGGUCCCCCAAAUAUGGCUAAGUGGGAAACGAAGUGGGAAGGCUAAAAACAGUCAGGAGGUUGGCUUAGAAGCAGCCCCCUUUAAAGAAAGCGUAAUAGCUCACUGAUCGAGUCGUCCCUGCCGCGGAAGAUGUAACGGGGCUAAGCCAUAUACCGGAAGCUUGCGGAUGCGAGCUAGUCUCGCAAUGGUAGGAGAGCGCGUUCCGUAAGCCUGCGAAGGUGCGUUGAAAAGCGUGGCUGGAGGGUAUCGGAAGUGCGAAUGCUGACAUGAGUAGCGAUAAAGGGGGUGAAAGGCCCCCUCGCCGUUAGCCCAAGGUUUCCUACGCAACGUUCAUCGGCGUAGGGGUAGUCGGCCCCUAAGGCGCAGGCCAGAAAUGCGUAGGCUGAUGGGGAAGCAGGUCAAUAUUCCUGCACCAUUGUUAGAUGCGAUGGGGGGGGACGGAUCGCGGAAGGUUGUCCGGGUGUUGGAAUAGUCCCGGUUCGCUUUGCAUUGGAGAAGGGCGCUUAGGCAAAUCCGGGGGCGCAGGAUUCAAGGGUGUGGCGGCGAGCUCCUUCGGGGAGGCAAAGCAAUUGGAAGUGGUUCCAAGAAAAGCCCUCUAAGCUUCAGUGUCUAACGAUGACCGGUAACCCGCAAACCCGACCACAGGUGGGGCGAGAUGAGUAUUCUAAGGCGCUUUGAGAGAACUCGGGAGAAGGAACUCUGGGGCAAAUUGGUACCGCGUAACUUCGGGAUAAGGUACGCCCUGGUAGCUUGACUGGCCUGCGGCCAGAAGGGUGAAGGGGUUGCCAAUAAACUGGUGGCUGCGACUGUUUAAUAAAAACACAGCACUCUGCAAACACGAAAGUGGACGUAUAGGGUGUGACGCCUGCCCGGUGCCGGAAGAUUAAAAUGAUGGGGUGCAAGCUCUUGAUUGAAGUCCCGGUAAACGGCGGCCGUAACUAUAACGGUCCUCAAGGUAGCGAAAUUCCUUGUCGGGUAAGUUCCGACCUGCACGAAUGGCGCAUAGAUGGCCACACUGUCUCCUCCCGAGACUCAGCGAAGUUGAAGUGUUUGUGAUGAUGCAAUCUACCCGCGGCUAGACGGAAAGACCCCAUGAACCUUUACUGUAGCUUUGCAUUGGACUUUGAACCGAUCUGUGUAGGAUAGGUGGGAGGCUAUGAAACCGGAACGCUAGUUUCGGUGGAGCCGUCCUUGAAAUACCACCCUGGUUUGUUUGAGGUUCUAACCUUGGCCCGUGAUCCGGGUCGGGGACAGUGCAUGGUAGGCAGUUUGACUGGGGCGGUCUCCUCCCAAAGCGUAACGGAGGAGUACGAAGGUACGCUAGGUACGGUCGGAAAUCGUGCUGAUAGUGCAAUGGCAUAAGGCGUGCUUAACUGCGAGACCGACAAGUCGAGCAGGUGCGAAAGCAGGUCAUAGUGAUCCGGUGGUUCUGUAUGGAAGGGCCAUCGCUCAACGGAUAAAAGGUACUCUGGGGAUAACAGGCUGAUACCGCCCAAGAGUUCAUAUCGACGGCGGUGUUUGGCACCCUCGAUGUCGGCGCUCAUCUCAUCCUGGGGCUGUAGCCGGUCCCAAGGGUAUGGCUGUUCGGCCAUUUAAAGAAGGUACGUGAGCUGGGUUUAAAACGUCGUGAGACAGUUUGGUCCCCUAUCUGCCGUGGGCGUUGGAAGUUUGAAGGGGGGGCUGCUCCUAGUACGAGAGGACCGGAGUGGACGAACCUCUGGUGUACCGGUUGUGACGCCAGUCGCAUCGCCGGGUAGCUAUGUUCGGAAGAGAUAACCGCUGAAAGCAUCUAAGCGGGAAACUCGCCUUAAGAUGAGACUUCCCCGGGGACUUGAUCCCCUUGAAGGGUCGUUCGAGACCAGGACGGUUGAUAGGUCGGGGUGUGUAAGCGCAGUAAUGCGUUCAGCUAACCGAUACUAAUUGCCCGUACGGCCUUGAUC
Molecule: ribosomal RNA, 3049 nt
Filed under: Burkholderia pseudomallei MSHR4375
Lineage: Bacteria; Pseudomonadati; Pseudomonadota; Betaproteobacteria; Burkholderiales; Burkholderiaceae
Description: bacterial LSU rRNA
Rfam family: Bacterial large subunit ribosomal RNA
Source: RNAcentral